Molecule: long non-coding RNA, 201 nt
Filed under: Elaeis guineensis (African oil palm)
Lineage: Eukaryota; Viridiplantae; Streptophyta; Magnoliopsida; Arecales; Arecaceae
Description: long non-coding RNA (EGUI_LNC018672)
Source: RNAcentral
UGUCGAUGUGGAUAGAUUACGUGGUGGGAUAAGAGGAGAACCGAGUCAAGAGGGGAUCAACUAACGUUAGUGAGGUUGUUGGAGCUAGCAAGCUAAAUCUAUCAACCCCUCGUUGUGUCCGAAGUGAUCUUCUUCAACUUAGUUUGAGAUUUUGAUCCGUUUGGUGGUUUAAGUUCACCAAUCUUAGAAGUAAUGCACAGC